Molecule: ribosomal RNA, 486 nt
Filed under: uncultured Curtobacterium sp.
Lineage: Bacteria; Bacillati; Actinomycetota; Actinomycetes; Micrococcales; Microbacteriaceae
Description: bacterial SSU rRNA
Rfam family: Bacterial small subunit ribosomal RNA
Source: RNAcentral
AGCCUGAUGCAGCAACGCCGCGUGAGGGAUGACGGCCUUCGGGUUGUAAACCUCUUUUAGUAGGGAAGAAGCGAAAGUGACGGUACCUGCAGAAAAAGCACCGGCUAACUACGUGCCAGCAGCCGCGGUAAUACGUAGGGUGCAAGCGUUGUCCGGAAUUAUUGGGCGUAAAGAGCUCGUAGGCGGUUUGUCGCGUCUGCUGUGAAAUCCCGAGGCUCAACCUCGGGCUUGCAGUGGGUACGGGCAGACUAGAGUGCGGUAGGGGAGAUUGGAAUUCCUGGUGUAGCGGUGGAAUGCGCAGAUAUCAGGAGGAACACCGAUGGCGAAGGCAGAUCUCUGGGCCGUAACUGACGCUGAGGAGCGAAAGCAUGGGGAGCGAACAGGAUUAGAUACCCUGGUAGUCCAUGCCGUAAACGUUGGGCRCUAGAUGUAGGGACCUUUCCACGGUUCUGUGUCGCAGCUAACGCAUUAAGCGCCCCGCCUGGG